This 253-nucleotide ribosomal RNA is filed under the name uncultured bacterium. RNAcentral describes it as "partial 16S ribosomal RNA". It matches the Rfam family "Bacterial small subunit ribosomal RNA", at positions 524 to 776 of the family's 1533-position model. The record is from RNAcentral.
UACAGAGGGGGCAAGCGUUGUUCGGAAUUACUGGGCGUAAAGAGCUCGUAGGCGGCUUGUCACGUCGGGUGUGAAAGCCCGGGGCUUAACCCCGGGUCUGCAUUCGAUACGGGCUGGCUAGAGUGUGGUAGGGGAGAUCGGAAUUCCUGGUGUAGCGGUGAAAUGCGCAGAUAUCAGGAGGAACACCGGUGGCGAAGGCGGAUCUCUGGGCCAUUACUGACGCUGAGGAGCGAAAGCGUGGGGAGCGAACAGG